AACGCGAAGAACCUUACCUGGCCUUGACAUGCAAGUAGUAGAAGCCUGAAAGGGUGACGAUGCCGCAAGGCAAGCUUGCACAGGUGCUGCAUGGCUGUCGUCAGCUCGUGUCGUGAGAUGUUGGGUUAAGUCCCGCAACGAGCGCAACCCUUAUCCCUAGUUGCCAUCGGGUCAAGCCGGGCACUCUAGUGAAACUGCCUGGGAUAACCAGGAGGAAGGUGGGGAUGACGUCAAGUCCUCAUGGCCUUUAUGUCCAGGGCUACACACGUGCUACAAUGGUCGGUACAAACCGUCGCAAACCCGUGAGGGGGAGCUAAUCGGAAAAAGCCGACCUCAGUUCGGAUUGGAGUCUGCAACUCGACUCCAUGAAGCUGGAAUCGCUAGUAAUCGCGGAUCAGAACGCCGCGGUGAAUACGUUCCCGGGCCUUGUACACACCGCUAGUC
This 444-nucleotide ribosomal RNA is filed under the name uncultured bacterium. Its description in RNAcentral is "bacterial SSU rRNA". It matches the Rfam family "Bacterial small subunit ribosomal RNA", at positions 958 to 1398 of the family's 1533-position model. The record is from RNAcentral.